Molecule: long non-coding RNA, 932 nt
Filed under: Nicotiana benthamiana
Lineage: Eukaryota; Viridiplantae; Streptophyta; Magnoliopsida; Solanales; Solanaceae
Description: long non-coding RNA (NBEN_LNC015870)
Source: RNAcentral
UGACUUUAAUGAACUGAUUUGCUAGGGAUAAGCUUUUUGUCUUCCUGCCCUUUAACUGACUUCAAAGCCAAUUUACCAACAAUAUUACACUAGCAUGAUCCAUAAUAAAGCUACUAGCAAUCUACAGUUUAUGAAUUGAAAUACUACUGCAAAGUCAUUACCAUUUUAACAUGAUAUUUACCUAGCUCCAAUACCACUGGUGACCACUAAGUUCAUAUGAACCUUUGAAUUGAUUCAACAACCAAUUAAACAAACCCACUGAACUGAUUACAAUUCAAGCUAUACCAAGGACCCAAUGCCACAAUUAACACUAUACCACAUUUAAUAGAUAACCCAUUUUAGUUAUACAUUUAAUCAACAUAUAUAUAACAGGAAAACAGACAACUACUACAAAUUAAAUGCAGGCAGUCCUCAGUUGAACAAUAAACCCAUCGAAUAUUUCAUUUCAAAAUUCAACAAGCUGACAUCAAUAUGGUUCAGGGUAGUGUACCUGGGAAUACAAUGAAAAGAAGAGAGGAAAAGAAUUAGCAGCAUCACAGUCAACAGUGACAAGCAAAAACCAGAACACAACCCGGGAAUGAGCAAACUCAACCAAAAUAAGCCUCUAAUAUACUUGAAAUCUACCCAAGAGCUUGAAAAACCCAUCAGCAAACAACAAAACAAACCCAAGCAAACUGAAUAACCCUGAAAUUGUUUGAACUACACUAUGCAUAACAGAGAAACUUCAACAACGAGUAGAGAACCAGAAAUGCAAAUUAUGAACUACAGUAUCAAAAUAAACAUACAGCUCUAAUGAAAUAGUAUAUUUUGGUAUUUUCUGAAGAGUUUUUGUUGUUUUUGAUUUUUUUAUCUGUUUUAUUUCAUAUUUUUCUGUAUGUCUAAAGGCUGAAGCUAAUUUAGGACUAGAAUGAAAGAAGAAAUCAGACUUUAUA